This 490-nucleotide ribosomal RNA is filed under the name uncultured bacterium. RNAcentral describes it as "partial 16S ribosomal RNA". It matches the Rfam family "Bacterial small subunit ribosomal RNA", at positions 30 to 507 of the family's 1533-position model. The record is from RNAcentral.
AUUGAACGCUGGCGGCAUGCCUUACACAUGCAAGUCGAACGGCAGCAUGAUCUAGCUUGCUAGAUUGAUGGCGAGUGGCGAACGGGUGAGUAAUACAUCGGAACGUGCCCUGUAGUGGGGGAUAACUAGUCGAAAGAUUAGCUAAUACCGCAUACGACCUGAGGGUGAAAGUGGGGGACCGCAAGGCCUCAUGCUAUAGGAGCGGCCGAUGUCUGAUUAGCUAGUUGGUGAGGUAAAGGCUCACCAAGGCGACGAUCAGUAGCUGGUCUGAGAGGACGAUCAGCCACACUGGGACUGAGACACGGCCCAGACUCCUACGGGAGGCAGCAGUGGGGAAUUUUGGACAAUGGGCGAAAGCCUGAUCCAGCAAUGCCGCGUGUGUGAAGAAGGCCUUCGGGUUGUAAAGCACUUUUGUCCGGAAAGAAAUGGCUCUGGUUAAUACCUUGGGUCGAUGACGGUACCGGAAGAAUAAGGACCGGCUAACUACGUG